CGAAGUAUAGCAUAUACAAUGCUUUUUACUUAAACUAAAAAUAAGACACUAUCUACUUCGC
Molecule: transfer RNA, 61 nt
Filed under: Eisenia nordenskioldi nordenskioldi
Lineage: Eukaryota; Metazoa; Annelida; Clitellata; Crassiclitellata; Lumbricidae
Description: tRNA-Val
Source: RNAcentral